UACGUAGGUCGCAAGCGUUGUCCGGAUUUACUGGGCGUAAAGAGCGCGCAGGCGGCUGGUCAAGUCCGAUGUGAAAUCUCCCGGCUCAACUGGGAAACUGCAUCGGAAACUGAUCGGCUUGAAGAUGGGAGAGGGUAGUGGAAUUCCCGGUGUAGUGGUGAAAUGCGUAGAUAUCUGGAGGAACACCGGUGGCGAAGGCGGCAUCCUGGACCGGUAUUGACGCUGAACAGCGAAAGCCAGGGGAGCAAACGGG
RNAcentral lists this ribosomal RNA (253 nucleotides) under uncultured bacterium. RNAcentral describes it as "partial 16S ribosomal RNA". It matches the Rfam family "Bacterial small subunit ribosomal RNA", at positions 524 to 776 of the family's 1533-position model. The record is from RNAcentral.